This 254-nucleotide ribosomal RNA is filed under the name uncultured bacterium. RNAcentral's name for it is "partial 16S ribosomal RNA". It matches the Rfam family "Bacterial small subunit ribosomal RNA", at positions 524 to 776 of the family's 1533-position model. The record is from RNAcentral.
UACGGGGGGGGGUAAGCGUUGUUCGGAAUUACUGGGCGUAAAGGGCUCGUAGGCGGCCAACUAAGUCGGACGUGAAAUCCCUCAGCUUAACUGGGGAACUGCGUCCGAUACUGGAUGGCUUGGAUUUGGGAGAGGGAUGCGGAAUUCCAGGUGUAGCGGUGAAAUGCGUAGAUAUCUGGAGGAACACCGGUGGCGAAGGCGGGUCUCUGGGCCGUAACUGACGCUGAGGAGCGAAAGCAUGGGGAGCGAACAGG